Callithrix jacchus (white-tufted-ear marmoset) is the source of this 80-nucleotide non-coding RNA. Lineage: Eukaryota; Metazoa; Chordata; Mammalia; Primates; Cebidae. The record is from Rfam.
AAUCUGGCUGCAAAAUCUGUUACCCCAUUGAUCCCAGGGUUAAUUCAGCUGAUCUGGUUGGCUAGGUGGGUGUACAUAUU